UACGUAGGGGGCAAGCGUUGUCCGGAUUUACUGGGUGUAAAGGGCGCGUAGGCGGAUUUGUAAGUUAGUGGUGAAAUCCUGUAGCUUAACUACAGAACUGCCACUGAUACUGCAUAUCUUGAGUUCGGAAGAGAGGAGCGGAAUUCCAGGUGUAGCAGUGAAAUACGUAGAUAUCUGGAAGAACACCAGUGGCGAAGGCGGCUUCUUGGUCCGUAACUGACGCUGAUGCGCGAAAGCGUGGGGAG
RNAcentral lists this ribosomal RNA (245 nucleotides) under uncultured bacterium. RNAcentral describes it as "partial 16S ribosomal RNA". It matches the Rfam family "Bacterial small subunit ribosomal RNA", at positions 524 to 768 of the family's 1533-position model. The record is from RNAcentral.